AAAGUAUAUAUGUACAUGUAUUAUAUACAUGAAAAUACAAAAAAUGCAAAGCAAAUUAAAAGAAGCUUGUUCUCAUCACACCCUAUCAUCUAUAAAGAAAACCAACCACAACACACCCUCCAUACUCUAUCCUUUAAGCUAAAAGAAAAGCUUCUCUCUUAUUCCCUUCACUUGUCUUCUUCUUACAAUCCACAAUCAUCAUGCAAUGAUAAUUAGAUUUUAUAUAUAUUUAUCUUCUUUCAUCCUAUGAUAUAACAAAAUAAUAUACAAAGGUAUAUUAUAUAUCAUAUGCAUAAAAAAGAAGAAAAAGAAAAGAGAAUUAUUAUUGCAUAUAUGGGUAGUAAUAGCAUUUUUGUUGCAAGGUUAUUGUUUAGAGCAUUAUUAGUGUUGGUCUUGGUGGGGCUUGUUUGUGUUUUUGUAUUAGUUAAUGGUGGCAAUGGAGGAAGAACAAGAAAGGCUUCAGAAACACUACAAGUGAAGAAGAUAGCUAGAGAUAACAACAUGAUGAGCAAUAACAAUAGGAGGGUUUUCAAUGGACCAGAUCCAAUUCAUAACAGGAGAGCAGGAAAUAAUUCUGGUCAACCUCCCGCUCAAUCUUAGUCAACAUAAAAUUCUACAAGCUUCACUCCCACCAUUUGACGAGGAGUAAUUCUUGCAUAUACACCUCAUAUUUUGGGACAUAUAUGGAAGGCUAAAGAGGGAGGGGUAAAAAAAGAAAAGAGAAGCUUGUGCCACAGAAGAUAAGCUCAAAGCAGUGAAAACAAAGUUUUGUUAUGUCUGAGAAGUGCAGCGAACUAUAGUUCAAAUGACAUAAUUUUUUCGUUUUCAUUUAAAGGUCUCGAAUUCAAAUCUGUUCUUGCUGAGAUUGGUCGGUGUAUAACUCGUCUGCCGGAAAAUGCUUGUAAGCUCUCUGUCCAGAUGAAGUAUAUGAAAGAACAAGGGGAUGGAUACCUGCAAAA
Molecule: non-coding RNA, 959 nt
Organism: Arachis ipaensis
Lineage: Eukaryota; Viridiplantae; Streptophyta; Magnoliopsida; Fabales; Fabaceae
Source: RefSeq, a predicted model, not a curated record